Molecule: ribosomal RNA, 492 nt
Filed under: uncultured bacterium
Lineage: Bacteria
Description: partial 16S ribosomal RNA
Rfam family: Bacterial small subunit ribosomal RNA
Source: RNAcentral
AGUGAACGCUGGCGGUAGGCCUAACACAUGCAAGUCGAACGGCAGCACAGUAAGAGCUUGCUCUUACGGGUGGCGAGUGGCGGACGGGUGAGGAAUACAUCGGAAUCUACUUUUUCGUGGGGGAUAACGUAGGGAAACUUACGCUAAUACCGCAUACGACCUACGGGUGAAAGCAUGGGAUCUUCGGACCUUGCGCGAUUGAAUGAGCCGAUGUCGGAUUAGCUAGUUGGCGGGGUAAAGGCCCACCAAGGCGACGAUCCGUAGCUGGUCUGAGAGGAUGAUCAGCCACACUGGAACUGAGACACGGUCCAGACUCCUACGGGAGGCAGCAGUGGGGAAUAUUGGACAAUGGGCGCAAGCCUGAUCCAGCCAUACCGCGUGGGUGAAGAAGGCCUUCGGGUUGUAAAGCCCUUUUGUUGGGAAAGAAAAGCAGCAGGUGAAUACCCCGCUGUUCUGACGGUACCCAAAGAAUAAGCACCGGCUAACUUCGUG